This 380-nucleotide ribosomal RNA is filed under the name uncultured Moraxellaceae bacterium. RNAcentral's name for it is "bacterial SSU rRNA". It matches the Rfam family "Bacterial small subunit ribosomal RNA", at positions 43 to 423 of the family's 1533-position model. The record is from RNAcentral. Lineage: Bacteria; Pseudomonadati; Pseudomonadota; Gammaproteobacteria; Moraxellales; Moraxellaceae.
CAGGCCUAACACAUGCAAGUCGAGCGGUAACAUUUCUAGCAUGCUAGAAGAUGACGAGCGGCGGACGGGUGAGUAAUACUUAGGAAUCUACCUAGUAGUGGGGGAUAGCUCGGGGAAACUCGAAUUAAUACCGCAUACGUCCUACGGGAGAAAGGGGGCAACUUGUUGCUCUCGCUAUUAGAUGAGCCUAAGUCGGAUUAGCUAGAUGGUGGGGUAAAGGCCUACCAUGGCGACGAUCUGUAGCUGGUCUGAGAGGAUGAUCAGCCACACCGGGACUGAGACACGGUCCGGACUCCUACGGGAGGCUGCAGUGGGGAAUAUUGGACUAUGGGGGAAACCCUGAUCCUGCCCUGCCGCGUGUGUGAAGAAGGCCUUUUGGU